AUUAACACCAUCCUGGACACACUAGGGGAGAACGACUUUGUCAACGUCAUCGCCUACAGCGACUAUGUCCAAUACGUUGAACCCUGCUUCAAGGGCACCCUGGUCCAGGCUGACCUGGACAACCGAGAGGCUGCAUCUUUGGGUCAGGGCAGUCUGUGUAACCAGGCCAUCAUGCUGAUCACUGACGGAGCCAUGGAGG
Molecule: long non-coding RNA, 199 nt
Organism: Oncorhynchus masou masou (cherry salmon)
Lineage: Eukaryota; Metazoa; Chordata; Actinopteri; Salmoniformes; Salmonidae
Exons: 3
Source: RefSeq, a predicted model, not a curated record